RNAcentral lists this transfer RNA (57 nucleotides) under Bos taurus (domestic cattle). It matches the Rfam family "tRNA", at positions 8 to 63 of the family's 71-position model. From Rfam's summary of the family: Transfer RNA (tRNA) molecules are approximately 80 nucleotides in length. Their secondary structure includes four short double-helical elements and three loops (D, anti-codon, and T loops). RNAcentral also lists the same sequence under 1 other name. Lineage: Eukaryota; Metazoa; Chordata; Mammalia; Artiodactyla; Bovidae. The record is from Rfam by way of RNAcentral.
UGGCUCAGAGGUUAAAGCGUCUGCCUGGAAUGCAGGAGAUUCAGGUUCGAUCCCUGG